CUAUCUCUAUCUAUUUCUCUCUGUCUCGUUCAUUCUACAAGCAGAGCAUUGGAUGCUGGGAGGAAAGAGGUAGGCGAGUAAGGGUUGGCGAGGAGGGUGGUGGCGUCAACGGGGUGUGACUCGCAAAAGGAGGAAAUCUAUUGCCGGAAGUGAGUAUAUUCAAGCGGCAGUCUGCGGUGCGUGUAUGGAAAUUCGAGACCGCCCUACCACGAAAGGGUCCUUCCCGAAACCCAAGGGAAGCCGCACGCGACGACGAUUUGCUCGAAGAAGAAAAAAAACGGAAAGACUGCAGAAGAAAAAGAAAAAGGAGAUAGAUUUUCGGCUGUCGUCGAAAAUAAGAAAUAUAAAAAGGUCGACGUUGGAACAAACAAAAAGAUACAAUUUUCAGAAAGCAAAAACGUCGAAGCGAAUGAUACGUGGUACUGCGUGCGAAAAAACACGUCGGUCAAGUCCCACGGCUCCUUGGAUCGGAGUCUAAUAAUCGCGAGAGAUACAGUGCUCAUGCGAGGUAAAGUUGCAAAAAACAAAAAAGAAAACAAAAACGGUUUGCUUCGAUACUUUUCCUAACCAUUGUACAACAACGGAAAAUGGGAACGGAGAAAAAGGAAGAGCUCGAUAUUGGAAAGCCUUUAGACAUCAGCGUGCACCAAAAGCAGUGCUUCUUUAAAAAUUGAAAUCGAAGAUGCGCACACGAGAUACGCUAUCAAAAAGGACUUAAAAGGAGAAACAAAUCGAUGUAGACGAUCGAUUAACGGCUUUGGCACAAGCAUUAUGUGUUUGUGGUGUGUGUAUGUUGUGUUUCUAUGCGUCUGUGUGUGUAAGAGAGAGAGAGAGAGAGAAGAUGGAACGAGUAUGCGCGAACCUGUGGAGCUCGUACGCAUCUAGGUUAAUGUACAUACGCGUGAUUGCACGUUGUGCACCACGUCGUAGGUAGGUGCACGUGUAAUCAGUGCUAAUGCGUCCCUAAUGGUGACUAAAUACCAAAUCAUAGUUUGAUGUGCUCCCAUCAACGAUGGUCCAUCAGCGGAGUGUUAUGCGCCGACAAACAAAAUCAAACCGAUCGUCGUCGUGUCCGCUUGCCUAAUAACAAAAAUUAUAUAUCAUUUUGCCCCUCAUGCAAUUACCCCACCACCGACCGCGAUAAUUAUCGCAUAUAAUAAUUAAGAGCGAAACGCCUUUGCAAGCUGCGCACUAUCAACGAAAGGCUUCCCAUCUCUUUCUCUCUCUCCUUCUCCCCCUUCCCAGCCUAAUAACGUUUUAACAAGCAACGCGCGAACUUAGAAAGAGGUUCUUCGUUUGAGAGAACAAGCUUGUCAAAGUAGUCCAGAAAUAACGAUUGGCAAAUCAAUUAGUUUAGGUAGAAAUUAGUGAUGCGAAGAGACCGGCGAGAGAGAGAGAGAGAGAGAGAGGAGAGGAGAGGAGGAGAUGCUGUUUACAUCAAGGGUUUGAUAUUUACGUCGGGAAUACUCUUUGAUAUAAGUAUCGGUUGAAGAAGAAAUUAAUGUAUGUAAUUUGAAUAAUUCUAACUAUCAUUUAAAGAAAACAAAAAAUCACUAAUAUAUCAGUCAAGAGUAAUACAGAAAAUAUAUAGAAAUAUAUGAGAGUAAUAGCAUAUAAAGGAAUAUUGGUAUGUAAUUGUGUGUUAAAGUGCUAAUAUCAAAUCAAACGAACAUGAUCACAUAGCUAUUUCUCUGACAGAUAAUCGAUAACUCAAUCGAGAUAACGAACGAUUUGCAGCUAGUAAUAGGGUGUAGACAACAUUGAACGUCUAUAGAGUUAUUUUGGCAAAUGUUAUAACUAAUAAUCACAUUAUUAUGCUGAUGAGAAAUUGUAAAUUUCAUUGAUAUAAAUAAGAAAAAAUUCUUAUAUAUGUAUGCGUAUAUAUAUAUAUAUAUGUGUAUAUUAUAUAUAUAUAUAUAUAUAUGUAUAUAUAUAUAUACAUAUAUAUAGAUAUUUCUUAUGUAGAAGGUAACUUCUGUUACAUAGGAAGGGGUAUUAUUAGACUCAUAGCUUACGGAAUCUACCCACGCACGCGCGUCCCAUACUAUUUACAUUCAGUCGUGCGUAUCUACGCGUUAGGACGUGUACACGAAGACAUGCUCUCUCGCCUCAAAACGAGAAUGUAUGAGCCCACGAUAUUAAGCCAUAACCGUGAUAUUCAUCGAAUAAGUUUGUGGAUGCUCACCAAACUUAAUGUUCUUUACAUUCUCCUACUUUACUAUCAAAAGAUACGAUCGGCAGAUGUUGUUUACAUAUUCCGCAGCAAUGAUCUUAAUACAUCAAGUUCUAAUGCACCAUCAAUGAAUUAAAAGUUGAUGACACAAAAAAAUUACACAAUAAAUAAUUACAUUGUUAUUUGAUUUUUUUUUUGCUAUGUAGAUGUUUUAUGAAAAGAUAGAUAUUAAUAAAAAAAAAAGUAGAAAAGAAAAGAAAUCAAAUUAAAAAAAUUUAAAUCAACGUUUCAUCUUUACAAUCAUUCAUGUAUUAAAAUAUAGAUGGACAAAUUUAUAUAUUUUUUAAUUGUUACUACUUUUGUCGUGUUAAAAUGGAUAUAUAACUUUUAAAAAUAUAUAGCUACUAUAUAUCUGCAAUCGCAUUAAUUUAAAAUCAAAGUUAAUUAUUAUUUUUUUCUACAGAUAACGAAUAGCAAAAGCAUAUCGAAGGCCACGGUAGAUUCUUGGACGAUGUUAUUAAACGUAAGGCCGAUGGGUCGUCGUCCCGGGAGACGUAUCGUUCCAAUACCGCGUUAACGAGUUCUAAUGGGAGUUGGGAACGAUAAUCGUCGCCUCGGAGCGAGUCAAAGUUUUCUUUCUAAUUAAGAAACAAAUAACCGGAGUUCACGCUUGGCCCGCUUUCGGGACAGCUUCGUUAAUAAACGCGGCCCGGUUAUUAAACCAGAAAAUUAACGUCUGCCUCGUACGAAGAGAAAUAGAAAGGAGAGAAAAGGAGCGAGAGGAAAGUGAGCUCGCGAAGAUGGCGGAUCGGUGAUGGUGGAGGUGAUCGCAGUAAAGAAAGAGGGGGAAAGUUCGCAGGAAGAGAGACGUCGUCGUCGUUGUCGACCGAUUCGUCUAUUCAUAAGAGAUUUUUAUUCUUCGAGGUAGAUAAUCUUUUGAACGCUGUCGACGACGAUGAUGGCGAUCUUAGAAAAAGAAAAAAAAUUUCAUACGAUCGCACUCAUCAGACCAUUCGAUUUUCUCUCUUAUUACUUCCUCCUCAAACAAAUACGAAAAAACCGACAAUGGAAGGCAAAAUUAAAACACUCGAUCUCACACAUACGAAAGCUGUCUGUUAUUGCAUCUGAGGAAAAAGUACUUUUUAAAUAUAAUGAAGUAUGAUGAAUGAGAAACGUCAACUUUUAGAUGGAGAUAAUUAAAAGUAAAUAAUAAUUUUCAGUAGAAAUUCUUAAUUUAGUAGCGCGCGCGAGCGAGGGGACAGUAAUUUCUUUAAGGAUAUUUCCAAUUGUGUGACGGCGUUAAGCGUUAGCAAAGUAAAAGAGACGUUCCUGCGCCGUAGUCGUUUACGACCACGGAGUUGGUUAGGUUAGGAUAAGGCACGUUCUCUGUAAUUACGUUGGAUGUGAUAAUUAUGAGGAUACCGGGCACUUGUCACAGUGUAACGAGCUUUCUUUUAACCGUGCACUAUCCUGCAACCUCGUCCUUCUUCUUUUGCAUCCAGAAACGUAAGCAGUUUGCUUAACAAACCAGCAAACUGAUACGCUUUAUCCAACGUCUCCUCACAAAUUAAUCUCACCGCAUUUUCUUGUAACAUAAUUAUAAUAUAAGGUUAAUGAAACAGUGUCCAUUGUUUUUGUACGUGUAUUCUUAGUUCAUAGAAUAUUUUUAUACGGGGACUUUGUAGUAAAAAUAAAUUUUUUUCAGAUCCCCGGUUUACGAGGAUUGUAUAACAAAGGGUGGAACUUCUAGUAUUUUUCUUUAAACAAUACAAUAAUAUAUAUAUCAUUAAAUCUAUUUAUUUUUAAUUAAAAAUUUCUACUAAAAUAUUAUCUACUCAUAGGGAAUCAAAAAGAUAGCAUGGCCUUGUAUCGAAAUCUCUCACGAUCUAAAUCUACUUUAACAUCGAAGUAUACAACUAUUGAAAAUCAAUUAUUUUCAAAAUAAACGUGCAUUAAACACUAAAAAUCUUCAAAAUAACUAACAA
Long non-coding RNA from Vespula vulgaris, 4158 nucleotides. RefSeq lists it as uncharacterized. Lineage: Eukaryota; Metazoa; Arthropoda; Insecta; Hymenoptera; Vespidae. The transcript is spliced from 3 exons. The record is from RefSeq and is a predicted model, not a curated record.